This 250-nucleotide ribosomal RNA is filed under the name uncultured bacterium. Its description in RNAcentral is "partial 16S ribosomal RNA". It matches the Rfam family "Bacterial small subunit ribosomal RNA", at positions 83 to 334 of the family's 1533-position model. The record is from RNAcentral.
AAGAGAUGGCGACCGGCGCACGGGUGAGUAACACGUAUCCAACCUGCCGAUAACUCCGGAAUAGCCUUUCGAAAGAAAGAUUAAUACCGGAUGGCAUACGAAUAUUGCAUGAUAUUUUUAUUAAAGAAUUUCGGUUAUCGAUGGGGAUGCGUUCCAUUAGUUUGUUGGCGGGGUAACGGCCCACCAAGACUACGAUGGAUAGGGGUUCUGAGAGGGAGGUCCCCCACAUUGGAACUGAGACACGGUCCAA